CUAAUACAUGCAAGUCGAGCGAACAGACGAGGAGCUUGCUCCUCUGACGUUAGCGGCGGACGGGUGAGUAACACGUGGAUAACCUACCUAUAAGACUGGGAUAACUUCGGGAAACCGGAGCUAAUACCGGAUAAUAUAUUGAACCGCAUGGUUCAAUAGUGAAAGACGGUUUUGCUGUCACUUAUAGAUGGAUCCGCGCCGCAUUAGCUAGUUGGUAAGGUAACGGCUUACCAAGGCAACGAUGCGUAGCCGACCUGAGAGGGUGAUCGGCCACACUGGAACUGAGACACGGUCCAGACUCCUACGGGAGGCAGCAGUAGGGAAUCUUCCGCAAUGGGCGAAAGCCUGACGGAGCAACGCCGCGUGAGUGAUGAAGGUCU
This 380-nucleotide ribosomal RNA is filed under the name uncultured bacterium. RNAcentral describes it as "bacterial SSU rRNA". It matches the Rfam family "Bacterial small subunit ribosomal RNA", at positions 48 to 417 of the family's 1533-position model. The record is from RNAcentral.